GCGAGGGUUGCCGAGCCAGGCCAAAGGCGUUAGGUUCAGGGCCUAAUCUCGUAGGAGUUCGAGCGUUCGAAUCGCUCCCCUCGCA
Molecule: transfer RNA, 85 nt
Filed under: Methanofollis sp.
Lineage: Archaea; Methanobacteriati; Methanobacteriota; Methanomicrobia; Methanomicrobiales; Methanomicrobiaceae
Also listed under: 1 other name
Description: tRNA-Leu
Source: RNAcentral